AUUUCUCUCUGAAAAAGGUUUGAGAGUGGCCAUAAGGGGUUCAAUGGCUCACAGUCGUAGCCCCGUCAUGGCUCCGCCGUGAACCGCGAUUGAGGGUGCACGGAUCCGGCUCCCUUCUAGGACCUUUCCAAACCUUUUCCCCUUUAAAAAUCUAAAAAGAAAACUAGAUCUAGGGGAUGUAAAACAGUUUUAAGAGAAAAAGAUGUAAAUCAUGGAAGAAGCGCCUUCGUUUUCGUGGCUUCUCUGACCCUCGUCAGAACCCGAACAGGUUUCAUGACGUUUGGGCUACCGGAGACCCUAUCAACGACCGACAAUGCGCCAAGGUAAGGUUUUUAUUGUUAUUAUUGCUUUUUGUACUUCCAAAAACAAAGAAAUGAACAAAAAUGCACCUUUUUGCUUUGAAUCCGAUUCUUCUAUUGCUAUUGAAAGUGUUCGUAAAAAAAAACAUUGGCUUGGUUUUCGGUUUUUAUAUCCGAAAAAUGAUACAUAUUUUAAUUCUUUCUUUUGUUUGUUUGCGUACUGCUCUUGUUCUGUCUACUUUCUCCCAUUUUUGCAUGUUUGCCGGUCUAUGAGGGAAGUCAACGAGGCAAAGGCUUCCUUUUUGGUGCAACGGGACAAGAAGAGUCGAGCCUCAGCCGUUGGACGUGCCGACGAGGCACGUGGGGUGCGCGGCGCUGGAAAGAAACUAGGGCUUCUAGGUCUGCCGAAAUUGGCUUGGGUUUUGGGCCUAUUGGGCCAUCAAAAAUUGGGGUGGGGGUUUAGGUUUCAUUUGUAAAGUGGGUUAGAUGUGAUUUGGGCUUUUAUAAAUGGAUUGUAAUAAUUUUGGACUUGUUAAAUUUUGGGUUUUGUUAUUACCGUUGGGUUUUCUAACGGGCCGGGCAAAUUUGAGUCCGUACAAUUUUUACCUCCAUAACACAAACUUUUCAAUGUAAAGGCUUCUGCUUCUUUGAUUACUCAAAGUGAUCCUCUUUGCUAAGGGGACAUCAUUAAAUUUUGGGGGGAAAUUUGUUGGUCAUGAUUUUACGAUCCCGGGGAAAAUUAGGCAACUGUCGAACUUCAAUAAUGGUUAAAUCCAAGUCACCGUAAAGGUAAACCACUUGCUUCGACACUUCUUUCACCAUUUUUAAAGCAGUUCACUAUAAAAAAAAAUCGUAGAGAAGAACAAAAGACAAAAGGACAGGUCUUCGAAGUUGCAGGCGACGAUGGGGGAUUUGGGUGUUAAACGAAAAGCCAAUACAUUGUUGAUUUCAGUGAAUUAAAAAGUGGGUUGACCUUGAUUUUGGCUUUCAUGAAGUCUAUAAAAAUGAAAAAUGGCAACCAUGUGAAGCUACAAG
Molecule: long non-coding RNA, 1334 nt
Filed under: Gossypium barbadense (sea-island cotton)
Lineage: Eukaryota; Viridiplantae; Streptophyta; Magnoliopsida; Malvales; Malvaceae
Description: long non-coding RNA (GBAR_LNC012761)
Source: RNAcentral